Liolophura sinensis is the source of this 357-nucleotide long non-coding RNA. RefSeq lists it as uncharacterized. Lineage: Eukaryota; Metazoa; Mollusca; Polyplacophora; Chitonida; Chitonidae. The transcript has 3 exons. The record is from RefSeq and is a predicted model, not a curated record.
UGUCAUAUCCUCGUGUAUUAUUCCUUGUUCCAUAUGUCACAUUCUAAAUUCCUCAUUGUUCGGAGUGUCUUCUGUAACAGUUACCGUUUUGUUUCUGCCAGACAACCACCUGUGAGACAGGGCUGACGUGUAAAACCCGCCCAUCCGACUGCCAGUUCGGCAAGGACUGUCCACACGAGGCUGUAUGUGACGACACACCUUGCGAAGCGACUUGUCGAAAACGGUGUGACUUUGGCUUCAAGCCGACGGGAUGUCCGCGAUGCGAGUGUAUCCCGGACCCGUGUUUAUCAGUGACCUGUUCUUUGGGUCAGACGUGUAUGCCUAAAGUCCCACCAUGCGAUUUUAACACUGGGUGCC